GAAGGUAUAGCUCAAUGGUAGAGUGCAUGUUUAACGUGCACGAGGUCCUGGGUUCAAUCCCCAGUACCGCCA
RNAcentral lists this transfer RNA (72 nucleotides) under Camelus bactrianus (Bactrian camel). It matches the Rfam family "tRNA". From Rfam's summary of the family: Transfer RNA (tRNA) molecules are approximately 80 nucleotides in length. Their secondary structure includes four short double-helical elements and three loops (D, anti-codon, and T loops). Further hydrogen bonds mediate the characteristic L-shaped molecular structure. tRNAs have two regions of fundamental functional importance: the anti-codon, which is responsible for specific mRNA codon recognition, and the 3' end, to which the tRNAs corresponding amino acid is attached (by aminoacyl-tRNA synthetases). tRNAs cope with the degeneracy of the genetic code in two manners: having more than one tRNA (with a specific anti-codon) for a particular amino acid; and 'wobble' base-pairing, i.e. permitting non-standard base-pairing at the 3rd anti-codon position. The record is from Rfam by way of RNAcentral. Lineage: Eukaryota; Metazoa; Chordata; Mammalia; Artiodactyla; Camelidae. RNAcentral also lists the same sequence under 1 other name.